UAUUUUCUGUUUCUUUUUCUUUCUUUCUUUGUUUGUUUGUUCCAUCGUGGCUUGCGGUUCCUUCUUUUCAUCUUGCUUUUUUAUUAUUUAUUUAUUUUAUUUCUCAAUCUGUUCUUGAUUCUUGGGUUAUUGUGCUUCCAAUUUCAUUAUUGCGUUUGGUGGAUCAACUCCUGCUGUGCUGUUUCAAAUUUUCGAGUAUUCGUAAGUAAAUGCUUUAAUCAUUCUUUUGGUACAUGGAUUAAUCUCGUGAAACUUUUGUUAUUAGGUGUUAAUCAAGUAGGUCACAACUCCACUUCUGGGAUUAAGUUGUGCUGGGCUUGUGCUGUCUGUUUGGGUAAGUGGUUGAGCAUUGGAAGACUCAAUUUCGGUUUGUUAAAAUUGAGUACCACCGAUUGUGAUUGUAUGAGUUUUUGGAAUUUGGUGAAUCCAUACUAAAAUUAGUUGUUUGAUUACUGAAUUUAGGUUCUUGAAGUCUUGUGGUAGAUUUUGUAUCAGAAAAUACCCAGGUGUGUUAUGAAAAUCUGAGAAAUCAGCAAUUGGUGAAAAGUCAAAAUUGAAAUAGUCGAUACUACACAGUCGUGUAACAAGCGUGUGUGUCACACGGUCUAGGCUGUAUGGGCUACACGUAGGGGUGUGUAAAAUUCAGGUAAAACCGAAAAAAUUCGGUUAACCGACCGAAUUCGGUUAAUCGGUCGGUUAACCGAUUUUUUUCGGUCGAGGGUCGGUUAAUUAUUUUUUAAUUUUUCGGUUAACGGUUAAUUUGGUUCGAAACCGGUCAGUUAACCGAAUUUUUUUGGUUUAACCGAAAAAAUUAAUAAAUAAAAUUAUAAUAUAUAAAUAGGCCCACUAUUCACCUAAACCAAAAUAACCUAAAUUAUAAUAUAAUUAUAAUAUACAAAAAUUAAUUAUAAUAAGUUUGUAUAAUGUAUGAUGAUGUUAAAUUGUAUCUCUAAAUCUGUUAUAUAACCAUGCAUGUGAUUCCAUGGAAAACUGAUGUGUUUUUAAAUUGUUUAAGAAAUCUGUUUUGUAGAGCAUGGACUUCCAUGCCAUUUGUUUCUAUUAUUGUUCAUAAGCAUGUCUUACAUGCUCACCAUUCUGAUUUUAUACAUGCAUGCCAUGACAUAUUGCAUAGGGUUCGGAAUUAUGUUAAAGGAGGAAGAUUCUGUAUUAACAGUUUAAUGAUCUGCGUAUUUAGUGGCUCGAACACAUAUUUUGCUUUGGCAACUGGGUUGCAAUACAGUGGCUUGACCACAUUUAUUUGAUUUGGCAG
This 1270-nucleotide long non-coding RNA is filed under the name Gossypium barbadense (sea-island cotton). RNAcentral's name for it is "long non-coding RNA (GBAR_LNC016723)". The record is from RNAcentral. Lineage: Eukaryota; Viridiplantae; Streptophyta; Magnoliopsida; Malvales; Malvaceae.